Molecule: ribosomal RNA, 470 nt
Filed under: uncultured bacterium
Lineage: Bacteria
Description: bacterial SSU rRNA
Rfam family: Bacterial small subunit ribosomal RNA
Source: RNAcentral
GCAGAGCAUCCUACGGGAGGCAGCAGUGGGGAAUAUUGCACAAUGGGCGCAAGCCUGAUGCAGCCAUGCCGCGUGUAUGAAGAAGGCCUUCGGGUGUAAAGUACUUUCAGCAGUGAGGAAGGUGGGUAUGUUAAUAGCAUACUCAUUUGACGUUAGCUGCAGAAGAAGCACCGGCUAACUCCGUGCCAGCAGCCGCGGUAAUACGGAGGGUGCGAGCGUUAAUCGGAAUUACUGGGCGUAAAGCGCAUGCAGGUGGUUUGUUAAGUCAGAUGUGAAAGCCCGGGGCUCAACCUCGGAAUUGCAUUUGAAACUGGCAAACUAGAGUACUGUAGAGGGGGUAGAAUUUCAGGUGUAGCGGUGAAAUGCGUAGAGAUCUGAAGGAAUACCGGUGGCGAAGGCGGCCCCCUGGACAGAUACUGACACUCAGAUGCGAAAGCGUGGGGAGCAAACAGGAUUAGAUACCCUGGUAG